GUCUGCUUGUUAUCAUGUUUGUUUACUUUUCCUGUGAUGUCUUUUGCUUAUUGGUGUACGUAUUCGAGGAAAAUAUUUUAAACCCAUUUGGCAUUUAAACAUACGUUUCCACUUCUUGUCUGAAUGUUAAAGAAAUACCCAUGAAUAUGACCAAGGUCAAUGAAGUCAGUAGUAGAGAUGGGAAAAGAUUCUGCGUAAACUUUCAGGUGUGUUGGUUCUCAACACCUAAGUCAGUUUUAGAUCGAAGACAUCAGUGUUAAUAUAUUAAUUGUUUUUAUGAAAUGAGACAUGCAAA
Molecule: long non-coding RNA, 295 nt
Organism: Daphnia pulicaria
Lineage: Eukaryota; Metazoa; Arthropoda; Branchiopoda; Diplostraca; Daphniidae
Exons: 3
Source: RefSeq, a predicted model, not a curated record